UCCUGGUUAGCCCUGCUGGUAAAGCUCUCCGCUAGUCUUGGAGAGGCCCCGGAAUCGAAUCCCGGACCAGGCU
Molecule: transfer RNA, 73 nt
Filed under: Ixodes scapularis (black-legged tick)
Lineage: Eukaryota; Metazoa; Arthropoda; Arachnida; Ixodida; Ixodidae
Description: tRNA-Thr
Source: RNAcentral